Molecule: long non-coding RNA, 1291 nt
Filed under: Taeniopygia guttata (zebra finch)
Lineage: Eukaryota; Metazoa; Chordata; Aves; Passeriformes; Estrildidae
Description: lncRNA (ENSTGUG00000020968.1)
Source: RNAcentral
GAUGGAAACUCUGAGGGCCGAGCUCCACGCCGAACAUUUUCCGUUCCCGACUCCUUUUUUUUUUCACUUUUUAUUCCUUUUUUUUUUUUUUCCUUUCUCCUCUUCAGUUUCAUUGAAGAAUUCGCUGCCCCCCAACCCCCCCCAACCCCCACAGCUCCCCCCAGCCCCGGGGCAGCCUCAUCCCCGGGGGGAGGGGGCGAUGCUCCCCAUCCCCAUCCCCACCGUGGGACUGGGGGGGAUGUGGGGGCACCCCGAGCACCCCAGAGCCCCCCGGGGAGGGGAUUGGGCACCCCCGAACCCCCCGGAAAGCAUCCCCGGGACCUGGGGCGGGAGCGGGACAGGAACGGGGACAGGAACGGGAACGGGGACGGGAACGGGGACGGGGAGAGGGACGGGGACGGGGACCGGGCGCUCCCGCGCUGCCGGCGGCCCCGAGGCUGGCCCGGAGCGGUCCCGGUGACCUCAUCGGCCGUGGCUGGCCCCGGGCCCGGCGGGGACGGUGGCCCCGGUGCCACGUGGCCGGGUGGCGGCGCUGCCAGCGGCAGGGCAGGGGGGGUCCCGGGGCUCCCCUGUACCCCAAAACCUUGGUGCGAGGGGCUGAAAACCCCGAGAGCCCCCCAGGAGGGAGGGGGGGAGGUUUGGUGGCUCCGGGGGUGCAGAGCUGUGGGGUGUCCUCUGGGUGCCAAAGGGCUCAUCUGGCACCAAGGUGUCCCCAAAAUCUGCAGGUCUGGGGGGAUCUGAGUGCCAGGGGGAGCCAGGCACUGCUUGGGGUGCUCGGGGUGGGGUUGGGGUAUUGGGGUUGGUGGGAGGAGCUGUUGGGGUGGUUGGGGGUUUGGGUUGGGUCCUCGGGGCUGUUUGGGUUGGGGUUACUUGGGUUUGGAGUUUGGGGUUGGGGUGUUUGGGUUUUCAGGGUUUUGAGCUGGCGCUGUUGGGGUUGUUGGGGUUGGGGUUUUUGGGGUAUUUGGGCUCCUGGGCUGGGGGUCAGGACCCAGCUGUGGACUCGGGACCCCCUCCCCAAAGGAGGGGCUGGGGCCGGGCAGGGGGAGCGGGGCCCGUGCCCCCCCCCCGGCCCCGCCGCCCCCAGCCAGGGUCCCUCUAGCUGGAGCUCGGCCCAGCAGCAGCAGCAGCAGCAGCAGCGAUGCUCCAGCUCUUCCUCCUCCUCCUCCUCCUCCUCCUCCUCCUCCUCUUCCUCCCCGGCCCCACGUCAGCACCUCCCUGCCGGCUCCCCCAGUUGAUCCCAGUUCCCUGCCAGGGGCCGGGAGCGGCACGGCCGAGGGGGGGUUAACUCUUC